UGGAAUGUAGCUCAGUGGUAGAGUACUUGACUAGCAGGCAGGAUGCCCAGGGUUCAAUCCCCAGCACCACAA
Molecule: transfer RNA, 72 nt
Filed under: Cavia porcellus (domestic guinea pig)
Lineage: Eukaryota; Metazoa; Chordata; Mammalia; Rodentia; Caviidae
Rfam family: tRNA
About the family: Transfer RNA (tRNA) molecules are approximately 80 nucleotides in length. Their secondary structure includes four short double-helical elements and three loops (D, anti-codon, and T loops).
Source: Rfam by way of RNAcentral